Molecule: ribosomal RNA, 674 nt
Filed under: Escherichia coli
Lineage: Bacteria; Pseudomonadati; Pseudomonadota; Gammaproteobacteria; Enterobacterales; Enterobacteriaceae
Description: partial 23S ribosomal RNA
Rfam family: Bacterial large subunit ribosomal RNA
Source: RNAcentral
AUAAUGGGUCAGCGACUUAUAUUCUGUAGCAAGGUUAACCGAAUAGGGGAGCCGAAGGGAAACCGAGUCUUAACUGGGCGUUAAGUUGCAGGGUAUAGACCCGAAACCCGGUGAUCUAGCCAUGGGCAGGUUGAAGGUUGGGUAACACUAACUGGAGGACCGAACCGACUAAUGUUGAAAAAUUAGCGGAUGACUUGUGGCUGGGGGUGAAAGGCCAAUCAAACCGGGAGAUAGCUGGUUCUCCCCGAAAGCUAUUUAGGUAGCGCCUCGUGAAUUCAUCUCCGGGGGUAGAGCACUGUUUCGGCAAGGGGGUCAUCCCGACUUACCAACCCGAUGCAAACUGCGAAUACCGGAGAAUGUUAUCACGGGAGACACACGGCGGGUGCUAACGUCCGUCGUGAAGAGGGAAACAACCCAGACCGCCAGCUAAGGUCCCAAAGUCAUGGUUAAGUGGGAAACGAUGUGGGAAGGCCCAGACAGCCAGGAUGUUGGCUUAGAAGCAGCCAUCAUUUAAAGAAAGCGUAAUAGCUCACUGGUCGAGUCGGCCUGCGCGGAAGAUGUAACGGGGCUAAACCAUGCACCGAAGCUGCGGCAGCGACGCUGAUGCGUUGUUGGGUAGGGGAGCGUUCUGUAAGCCUGCGAAGGUGUGCUGUGAGGCAUGCUGGAGGUAUCAG